UCACUCUUCUUUCUCUUCACAUUGCAUAAAUCUUUCGCCUUUUACUAAAGAUCUCAAUGGGGAGGAACAACAAGAGUAUAAUACUAGUUUUUGAUGCCUUGCGGAAGUGGGGC
Molecule: small nuclear RNA, 113 nt
Organism: Entelurus aequoreus (snake pipefish)
Lineage: Eukaryota; Metazoa; Chordata; Actinopteri; Syngnathiformes; Syngnathidae
Product: U5 spliceosomal RNA
Exons: 1
Source: RefSeq, a predicted model, not a curated record